UGCCGCAAUUGCUCUGGACUCUCGGCUUAAACCAUGGCAACACGCCAGGCUAUAGGCCGCGAGAAUAACGCGCGCCGCCCCAGAAGCGGUUAGCGCCGGGACCGAGACUAAAGGGGAGAAGGCCACGAGCUGGGAAAGAGAGGAGGGCCGUCUCUAUAGCAACCCCGCCUCUCCUGUGCUUAAGAGCAAAACCACCGAGCACUGUGGGAAAUGGCAAGGAGUCUGCGCGCAGACUACUGGGUAGCGUAGUCCAGGGAUGGGCGCGUGAUGAGGGCGGAGCGAUGGAGCGCUUGUACCUAGAGUAGGAGCUUCCCGGAGGACGAGUCCACCCAGAGAGAGCUUUGGCCUGGAUCCUCCCCUGGACGGUCAAGCAGGACAGGUGGAAAAGCAGGACUUGCUGAUGGGUGGUUCCCAGGCCGGGCAUCCAAGAAAGGGCGGAGCUCUGCGUGACGUCAGGUCACCUUGGCAGCCGAGGAGCCCCGCCCCCUCCUCCUGGUGGGGGACUUGAGUCACUGCGGGGGAUGAGCUCCCAAUGGUCAUGGGAGGGGUCUCCAUUUUGAAGACCUGGGAGCGUCACGGACCCACCUGAGUAAAGCUCCAGACCGGACAGAGUCGCUUC
Long non-coding RNA from Antechinus flavipes (yellow-footed antechinus), 619 nucleotides. RefSeq lists it as uncharacterized. The transcript is spliced from 2 exons. NCBI's taxonomy places the organism in Eukaryota, Metazoa, Chordata, Mammalia, Dasyuromorphia, Dasyuridae. The record is from RefSeq and is a predicted model, not a curated record.